Molecule: long non-coding RNA, 1151 nt
Filed under: Homo sapiens (human)
Lineage: Eukaryota; Metazoa; Chordata; Mammalia; Primates; Hominidae
Description: HSALNT0181376
Source: RNAcentral
AGGCAAGAAAGGAUGAAGAGGAGGGCCCCGGGAAGAACCCUUUCUGAGAAUGUCUUCCCACAUUCCAGGUGAACUAUCCUGAGAUUUAGAGGCGGUUCCUCCUGCCCUGUCUCAGCAAGGCUGGCAGUGCAUCAGAAUCUCCCUGACAAGCUGUUUUUCAUUGUCCUCACAUCCCCAAAGCCCCAUCCUCAGAAGUUCCUGCAGGCUCUCCUGAGAAAGAACCAUCAAAACAGGUCAAGGAAAUCAAGGCUAAGUAAGCGUGGAGGUCACUGUGAGAAUUGUACGGGCAAGGAACAAUCAUUAGUGCAUCUUUGACAGAGACCACACCCCACACCCGAAUCAGGUGAAUGAUAUUCUAGGAGGAAAAGUCUGAAAAGCAAAAUCUUGCAAAGAAGUCUGUGGGGUCUCAGCAAUAUGCAUAGCAGCAGAGAAAUGUUGCUCCAGGAGUGAAUGGUCAGUUGGGGAACAGACUGGAUAUUGUCAGACAAUCAGCAGAAGAUGGAAGUGCAUAAGGAUAUGAGAAAGACAGUGAAUUGCAGGCGUGGCUACCUCUGGCUAAUAGGCUAUUGCCAAUUUCUCGUGUUGGAAGAAAUUAAAAUUUACAUGAACAAAUGAGAUUCAUUUGCAUAAAUUUACAUGUAGAUGUGGUAGUGUAAGAUCUUGACCAUUAGUUGUAAGUAUACAAAGUCUACUUUCAUGGAUGGUGAUUAAUAAAUUCUUUUCAAGUAAUUCCUUUAUGUUUCUUACCUCAGUUUAAAAACCUAGUCAGAUUUUGGUUGUAUCUGGUGAUGUCAGCAUUAGCCACACUCACAGCCAAGUUCUAUAGGCUUGGAUGGCUACAGCAGCAUGGCAGUGAGGCAAGGGACAAGCACUGACAUCCAAAAGCUGCUGGUGAGAAGCUGGGUUAGCCUUUUACUUGCAGCUGUCCUAAACCUAGGUCCCAAGGUACUUGACUGCACACUGCUCUUGUCCCCAAAGGCCUGGAAAAUUUGGGGGUUUACUCCUCUUUGCUCAGUAUCCAUUUCUUCAACCCUCUCCCUGUGUCUUCCAUUACUCUGGUGCACACAUGCACGUGCACAUACACAAAUUUACUAACAUGCACACACAUGGGCCUAUCUCAUCUCUCUUGCUCUCGCUCUCUCGUUACCACU